GACGAACGCUGGCGGCGUGCUUAACACAUGCCAGUCGAACGGAAAGGCUCCAGCUUGCUGGAGUACUCGAGUGGCGAACGGGUGAGUAACACGUGGGUAAUCUGCCCUGCACUCUGGGAUAAGCCUGGGAAACUGGGUCUAAUACUGGAUAUGACCUUUCUCCUUAUGGGGUUUGGUGGAAAGUGUUUCGGUGUAGGAUGAGCCCGCGGCCUAUCAGCUUGUUGGUGGGGUGAUGGCCUACCAAGGCGACGACGGGUAGCCGGCCUGAGAGGGUGAUCGGCCACAUUGGGACUGAGAUACGGCCCAGACUCCUACGGGAGGCAGCAGUGGGGAAUAUUGCACAAUGGGCGGAAGCCUGAUGCAGCGACGCCGCGUGAGGGAUGACGGCCUUCGGGUUGUAAACCUCUUUCAGCAGGGACGAAGCGUAAGUGACGGUACCUGCAGAAGAAGCACCGGCUAACUACGUG
Molecule: ribosomal RNA, 467 nt
Filed under: uncultured bacterium
Lineage: Bacteria
Description: partial 16S ribosomal RNA
Rfam family: Bacterial small subunit ribosomal RNA
Source: RNAcentral